UACGGAGGGGACUAGCGUUGUUCGGAAUUACUGGGCGUAAAGCGCACGUAGGCGGAUUUGUAAGUCAGGGGUGAAAUCCCGGGGCUCAACCUCGGAACUGCCUUUGAUACUGCAAAUCUCGAGUCCGGAAGAGGUGAGUGGAAUUCCUAGUGUAGAGGUGAAAUGCGCAGAUAUCAGGAGGAACACCGAUGGCGAAGGCAGGUCUCUGGGCAUUAACUGACGCUGAGGAGCGAAAGCAUGGGGAGCGAACAGG
This 253-nucleotide ribosomal RNA is filed under the name uncultured bacterium. Its description in RNAcentral is "partial 16S ribosomal RNA". It matches the Rfam family "Bacterial small subunit ribosomal RNA", at positions 524 to 776 of the family's 1533-position model. The record is from RNAcentral.